Diceros bicornis minor is the source of this 1796-nucleotide long non-coding RNA. RefSeq lists it as uncharacterized. The record is from RefSeq and is a predicted model, not a curated record. The transcript is spliced from 3 exons. NCBI's taxonomy places the organism in Eukaryota, Metazoa, Chordata, Mammalia, Perissodactyla, Rhinocerotidae.
CCUGACAUUUACUCCCUAGCAGGACACUAUUUGGGUUUCUACCUGAAUCUAUGCUCCCUGAAGUGCAAUUCUUUGAUCCCAAAUAUAUUCUUUGCUUCUUAAACUGGUUUCUGUUUUUGAACGUUGACACGUGGUGUCAGAAAGCAGGAUCUUCAGUGAUCUCACCUUCGGGGACCAGAGUCUCCUGGAAACGGCUUUGGUACCAACACGAGCCAUGUUGCGUGCUCAUCCGCUCCCAGGGACAGCUGACUCCUCUGGUUCUGGGACCUCUCAGGCUUGAACCUCCCCUCCUUUUGGUUAAGGUCUUUGCCUUUCUUCAGGAUUCUAGGGCAAGAGCCCAAUCUGGGGUCAAGUGACCAGGAGACAAGUAUCUCCAAGCUGGCUCACAGCUAUUGUCCUCUGAAAGAGUUUCCCUGUUUGGGCCACCUUAUGGCAGCUCAUGGCUAUUGCCAUCUGGAAGGAUUUCUCUGUUUGAACCAGCUACAGCUGUUGCUGUUGGAGGAUUUAUGCCCCAUCUGCUCCAUGUUAUAAAAACACCACUCAGAUUAUGGUUGCUCAGUGCUUUAAAAUGAUUGCUAAGGCUUAUGAACCUUCACCUGAGAAACUUCAAGGAACUAUAGGCAAUGUUUGCCCUUAAAGGAACCUGACGGUGGGACAUGACAUACCAGCAAUGAGCCUUCCUGGUGACAAGGGACCAACAACGCAUUGAUGGCUGAUCAGCAAGGCUUUCUAAUAGUCGAUCAGCAAUGUUUUCAAAUGGUUGAUCAGAAUGUUUUCAAAGAAAGACCACGAUCAAAAUGGAGAAGUGUCAAAAUUGACUCUAGUGGAGCCAUUUUAAAAUGGAGUUGGGGCCGGCCCCGUGGCUUAGUGGUUAAGUAUGCGCGCUCUGCUGCUGGCGGCCCGGGUUCGGAUUCCGGGCGCGCACCGAUGCACUGCCUCUCCGGCCAUGCUGAGGCCGCGCCCCACAUACAGCAACUAGCAGGAUGUGCAGCUAUGACAUACAACUAUCAACUGGGGCUUUGGGGGAAAAAUAAAUAAAUAAAAAUAAAAAUAAAAUAAAAUGGAGUUGGAGCUGGCUCUCCAGAGAAACUGCCUUGCUGUCUUGAACCUUGGACUGGGCCAAACCUUUGGACUGGGCCAAACCGGCAGUAGAUUUACAAGUAAUUGUUUGAGACGUCAGCAGGAGAAUGGACAUCCUUGUCACAAAGACUGAGGAUUGUGGACCUUCUGAAGAUAGAAUCAAAAGUCAAUGUUUAGCCAAGACUAGCUCUCUGCCUCCAACUCCAAUCAAAACUCUUUGUACUACAACCUCCCUUCUGUGCCUUUAAAAACCCCUGAUUUUUACUCCCUAGUAGGACACUUUUUGGGUUUCUACCUGAAUCUGUGCUCUCCAAAUUGCAAUUCUUUGAUCCCAAAUAAACGCUUUACCUCUUAAGCUGGUUUCUGCUUCUGCAGGUUAACAAGUUCAUAGUUCAGUAAAGUAAACGCUAAAUUUAUUUCUUAAAAUCUAUACUUCUCAUUUUCUUUUAAGACGUUAUUUGAGAUAAGAAACUUAUCAUCUAGUCCACAACCAGGUGCAGAGACACUGCCCAAGAGAUGUGCUGUUCAAGCAGACGUUUUAAAUUGUGGGAACAAAUGUUUGCUGUUUUUGCCUUUUUUUUUUCUUUUUACUUGUCCCCGAGACAAGAUCAUUACAAGACUUAACUGAAAGUUUGAUUGCCCUGCUUGCCUUAUGUCAAUUGUCAAUACAGAAUAAAUAAAAAGUAAUCAAAAUGUUUUUUAUGGCUACAAAAAUA